Molecule: ribosomal RNA, 440 nt
Filed under: uncultured bacterium
Lineage: Bacteria
Description: partial 16S ribosomal RNA
Rfam family: Bacterial small subunit ribosomal RNA
Source: RNAcentral
CCUACGGGUGGCAGCAGUGGGGAAUAUUGCACAAUGGGGGAAACCCUGAUGCAGCGACGCCGCGUGAGCGAUGAAGUAUUUCGGUAUGUAAAGCUCUAUCAGCAGGGAAGAAAAUGACGGUACCUGACUAAGAAGCCCCGGCUAACUACGUGCCAGCAGCCGCGGUACUAUGUCGGGGGCAAGCGUUAUCCGGAUUUACUGGGUGUAAAGGGAGCGUAGACGGUCCUGCAAGCCAGAUGUGAAAGGCCGGGGCUCAACCCCGGGACUGCAUUUGGAACUGUAAGGCUGGAGUGUCGGAGAGGCAGGCGGAAUUCCUAGUGUAGCGGUGAAAUGCGUAGAUAUUAGGAGGAACACCAGUGGCGAAGGCGGCCUGCUGGACGAUGACGGACGUUGAGGCUCGAAAGCGUGGGGAGCAAACAGGAUUAGAUACCCCUGUAGUC